UGCGUAGGCGGUUCUGAAAGUCUGAUGUGAAAUCUCCGGGCCCAACCCGGAAAUGGCAUUAGAAACUACAGGGCUAGAGGCUUGGAGGGGGAACUGGAAUUCUCGGUGUAGCAGUGAAAUGCGUAGAGAUCGAGAGGAACACCAGUGGCGAAGGCGAGUUCCUGGACAAGUCCUGACGCUGAGGCACGAAAGCCAGGGGAGCAAACA
Molecule: ribosomal RNA, 207 nt
Filed under: uncultured bacterium
Lineage: Bacteria
Description: partial 16S ribosomal RNA
Rfam family: Bacterial small subunit ribosomal RNA
Source: RNAcentral